AGCGAACGCUGGCGGCAGGCUUAACACAUGCAAGUCGAGCGGGCACUUCGGUGUCAGCGGCAGACGGGUGAGUAACACGUGGGAACGUACCCUUUGGUUCGGAAUACCGCUGGGAAACUAGCGCUAAUACCGGAUACGCCCUUUUGGGGGAAGGCUUGCUGCCGAAGGAUCGGCCCGCGUCUGAUUAGCUAGUUGGUGGGGUAAUGGCAUACCAAGGCGACGAUCAGUAGCUGGUCUGAGAGGAUGAUCAGCCACACCUGGACUGGGACACGGCCCAGACUCUUACGCGAGGGAGGAGAGGGUGAUAGUGGAAAACGGGGGCAAGCCUGAUCGAGCCAGGCUGCGAGAGUGAUGAAGGCCUUAGGGUUGUAAAGCUCUUUUGUCCGGGACGAUAAUGACGGUACCGGAAGAAUAAGCCCCGGCUAACUUCGUG
RNAcentral lists this ribosomal RNA (433 nucleotides) under uncultured bacterium. Its description in RNAcentral is "partial 16S ribosomal RNA". It matches the Rfam family "Bacterial small subunit ribosomal RNA", at positions 29 to 507 of the family's 1533-position model. The record is from RNAcentral.